ACGGUUACCUUGUUACGACUUCACCCCAGUUAUCAGACCUGCCUUCGACAGCUCCCUCCUUUCAGUUGGGUCACUGGCUUCGGGCAUUUCCGACUCCCAUGGUGUGACGGGCGGUGUGUACAAGACCCGGGAACGUAUUCACCGCGGCAUUCUGAUCCGCGAUUACUAGCGAUUCCAGCUUCAUGUAGUCGAGUUGCAGACUACAAUCCGAACUGAGACGUUAUUUUUGAGAUUUGCUUACCCUCGCGGGCUCGCUUCCCUUUGUUUACGCCAUUGUAGCACGUGUGUAGCCCAAAUCAUAAGGGGCAUGAUGAUUUGACGUCAUCCCCACCUUCCUCCAGGUUAUCCCUGGCAGUCUCCUCAGAGUUCCCGGCCUCGCCGCUGGCUACUGAGGAUAAGGGUUGCGCUCGUUGCGGGACUUAACCCAACAUCUCACGACACGAGCUGACGACAACCAUGCACCACCUGUCUCCAUCGCCCCGAAAGGAAGGGACCGUUACGUCCCCGU
RNAcentral lists this ribosomal RNA (508 nucleotides) under uncultured bacterium. Its description in RNAcentral is "partial 16S ribosomal RNA". The record is from RNAcentral.